CAUUGCGAAGCUUAGAGCGU
RNAcentral lists this transfer RNA (20 nucleotides) under Rattus villosissimus (long-haired rat). RNAcentral describes it as "tRNA-Lys". The record is from RNAcentral. Lineage: Eukaryota; Metazoa; Chordata; Mammalia; Rodentia; Muridae.